GGACUACUGGGGUAUCUAAUCCCUUUUGCUCCCCACGCUUUCGUGCCUGAGCGUCAGCAAUUGUCCAGGUAGCCGCCUUCGCCUCUGGUAUUCCUCACGAUAUCUACGCAUUUCACUGCUACACCGUGAAUUCUGCUACCCUCUCCAAUGCUCUAGCCGUGUAGUUUGAGGUGCAAUUCCGGAGUUGAGCUCCGGGCUUUCACGCCUCACACACACGGCCGCCUGCGCACCCUUUACGCCCAGUGAAUCCGAAUAACGCUUGCAGUCUCUGUAUUACCGCGGCUGCUGGCAC
This 292-nucleotide ribosomal RNA is filed under the name uncultured Verrucomicrobiota bacterium. RNAcentral's name for it is "uncultured Verrucomicrobia bacterium partial 16S ribosomal RNA". The record is from RNAcentral. Lineage: Bacteria; Pseudomonadati; Verrucomicrobiota.